Poecilia reticulata (guppy) is the source of this 2460-nucleotide non-coding RNA. The record is from RefSeq and is a predicted model, not a curated record. NCBI's taxonomy places the organism in Eukaryota, Metazoa, Chordata, Actinopteri, Cyprinodontiformes, Poeciliidae.
AACACAUAGAAACACGGAUCAUGACACUUAGUAGUGCAUUGCUGACUUGCUACCAGAGCAGAUAGCCUGACUAAUCAACCAGCUUGUAGUUGUGCUUCUCAGAAAUACACAUUUAAAGGCGCAGUAUGUUACUUUGAUAAACAAUCUUUCUUUCCUUUUACUUAUUUGUUCAAACUUGUCAUUAUAUGAUGACAGUGUAACAUGAAACAAACAAUCUGUGAAAUAAAAAAAUCAAGCUCCUAUAUGUCUCCUCCCUAUGGUCCUACAGCCAUCUGCAAAAAUAUGCUGCUUCUGAUCAAAAACAAGCUAUCAGAGCCAGGAGGAAGGUCUUGGUGCUGUCAAUGAUGCUCGUGUAUGUGUUGGCGGAGAAACAACUCACCGUCACAGGAAAACUGGUUAUCCACCAUCAUCAGUAGCCAUGCUUACUCACCUGUGUAUUCAUGACAGGCUCUGUUGUGGGAGGGUGUGAGCAGUGCAUACACAUGCAUGAUUGACAGUGCUAAGUCCCUCCUCCUGGCUUUGAUUGGUUGUUUUUAACCAAUUUCUAGAGAUGACUGUAGAACCACACGGAGAGGACAGAGAACCUUUAUUUAUUUUCCGUCUCAUGUUACACUGUCAUGGCACAUGGUUUCAGCAAACAUGUAAAAAAACAACAUGUUUAUAAAAGUUACAUACAGUUUUAAAACUGCAAAAAACAUGUAACAGGUGUUAAUUUUAUAUUUUGUUUUAUCUAAGACGAAAUACCAAAAUAACAACCACAAAAAAUACACGCUGUCAGUCAGAUAAUCAUUUUCCCCAGUUUACAACCAACAAUAGCAACUUGUUCUAGACAUGUGAUAAUAGAUAUUUCAGAACAAUGGCCAGGGUGGCAUUUCAUCGGAAUCUCAUUUCAGCCUUUGCCUUAUAAGGGCUGCUUAGAAAUAACUUUCCUUUAUUCAAAUCCAUUUCUUUUUGCCAAAAUCGUCUUCUUAUUAAUGAGUCACUGCUUUGUUCAGACAGUGUGUCUGCUGGGGGCCAAUUAAAGAAGCGCAGGAGUCAACUGACUAUUGCAUGUUGAAUCCUUUCCUAUUUCUGAGCUGUGAAAUGAACCGGCGAGGGAACACUUUGUGUGUCUGCUGCGAAUCUGUAGAUUAACAGAACAUUGUAAUACGGCAGCAACGCUGUGUGAUUCGGAAAUCCAGCUCUGACUAACAGUUUUCUCCUAAUUCCCGUUACUUCAAGGUGCUAAUUAAGCACAAUUUCUGAGAGGCUUUCACCUCCCCUCGCAGGCGCUCGGUGCAAAACAUUCAACAUUCAGAGCUGAACCGGAUUCUGUUUGUGUUAUUUGCCACACCGCUCUUUGAGACUGUUUUUCUUUAAUUUUUAUUUUUUACCCAUGGUAGCAUAGCAACAGCCGAUAAACAGCCUGCUUGAAAGGUAGCUGUCCAAAAUGGUGCAGGCUAUGCAUUUCAUAAAUCCCCUCGCCUGAGAUCCCUACGGGCCUGGCCACCUGGCACAAAAGCAGGUGUUUUCUCUAGGACUAGUCCCCAGUACUUCCAAACGAGGUAUUUUCCCGAUUUCUCAGCUUUUUAAAAUGCACCUUCUGUCUUGUUAAUUAUUCAUUAUGCUGAGCAAUACACUUUGUGUUUUUUUAUAAUGUAUUCUGCAGGAAUAAUGAAGGAUUCACCUUCAGUCACUCCCGUCUAAAGAAUAAUUUCUGUGUGUAAUCCCGUCGCCUGCAGCAAAGAUGUGAAGAUGCUUCUCACAGAUUUCUAACAUUUUUGAAUAUUUUUGCCACACUUAGACGUUUCAGAUCAUCAGCAAAUUUCAAUAUUAGACAUGAAAGAUCAGCUUUUAGGUCUUUAUUUAAUUGAUUGAUUUUAAAAAAGCUGUCCAAACCAGCUUGUCUAAACGAGUUAUAAUUUUUUUCUUUUAUAGAAAGCUGAAUUCAGUUUCACCAGACCCAAUUACUGCCAGACCUGCAGAAUCAGGGAAUCAGUUAAACAGAACUUCCUUAAAUUAGGCUAAAACAUCUCAAAACAGACAAAUGUGGCACCAAGGCUAAAGUAAAGCUUGUCUGUCUGUUGCCUGAUUAAUAGACAUUUGUGGAAUUAAUAAUAUAAUUACUCAUUCGGGGGAAUUAAAAAAUGAUCUCAUUAACAUGCAAAUUAUGCUCUGGAUGGAAAAUCGUCUUGGAAUUCAUAUUUAACACACAGAAGAAUUACCAAAUCACAUCGGCUUGACAUGUAUAGCCUGUAGGGGAUUUAUUUACAAAUGCAGUUGUGCUUGACAGAGUUAUGAAAAUGAUUUCCUGACAUUUAGAGUGAAAUUAUGGUGAAAAGUCAUUAAAUAGGGAAUCAAAGUUUGUAAAAGCUUGGAGAAAAUAAUGCAAAAAUGAUCAAAAUAACAUCUUGGAAUUGAUGUUGAGUUUUAAAUCGUUUGAAUCUAUGCCUAUCAAACGUGAUGGAGCUCUAUUGGUUG